This 423-nucleotide ribosomal RNA is filed under the name uncultured bacterium. Its description in RNAcentral is "bacterial SSU rRNA". It matches the Rfam family "Bacterial small subunit ribosomal RNA", at positions 357 to 773 of the family's 1533-position model. The record is from RNAcentral.
GAGAAUUUUUCUCAAUGGGGGAAACCCUGAAGGAGCGACGCCGCGUGGAGGAUGAAGGUCUUCGGAUCGUAAACUCCUGUCAUUUGAGAACAAGUGCCGUCCGGUAACUACGGAUGGCUUGAUAGUAUCAGAAGAGGAAGAGGCGGCUAACUCUGUGCCAGCAGCCGCGGUAAUACAGAGGCCUCAAGCGUUGUUCGGAUUCAUUGGGCGUAAAGGGUGCGUAGGCGGUUCCGUAAGUCGGGUGUGAAAUCUUGGGGCUCAACCUCAAAACUGCAUUCGAUACUGCGGGGCUAGAGGACUGGAGAGGAGAGUGGAAUUCACGGUGUAGCAGUGAAAUGCGUAGAUAUCGUGAGGAAGACCAGCGGCGAAGGCGGCUCUCUGGACAGUUCCUGACGCUGAUGCACGAAGGCCAGGGGAGCAAAC